GGGGAAGGCAAGGUCCAGGACUGUUCUAGAGGGAAGGGAGAGAGAACUACUCAGGCGCCAGAGAGGAGCCGGUGCUGUCGGAGAUCCUUUAAUGAGUUGCCCAGCCCUGGUCAAGGAGAGGAUCAAGGAGAGGCUGUCUCUGGCCAGGGUCUUACUCUUCUUGGACCAAGUGGUAUGUAUCUGGCUGGGGAGACAGUGGGGACCCUUGCUAGUCCACAGCAAAUGUACAUCACCAAGCACUGGAGGUCAUGGAUCCUUCCUGGACGGAAAAAGUGACCAGGAGCUGGAUCAAAAUGAAAGGAUUCAGCCAGAGCCACCAAGGAUGGCCGGGUCCUGAGGUCAGCAAUGGUGACAUAAAGUCUGCAGUUGUGAUUGGGAGGGUUUCAGCUCGGGAUGUGAAGGACAAAGCCUAGAGACCCAGUGGGCAAGGAUGGGUGUGCACAGA
Molecule: long non-coding RNA, 445 nt
Organism: Heterocephalus glaber (naked mole-rat)
Lineage: Eukaryota; Metazoa; Chordata; Mammalia; Rodentia; Bathyergidae
Source: Ensembl